ACAGUGGACGCGAGCAUCUUUGUUGUAAGUAAUGAAGAGCGUACGGUGGAUGCCUUGGCACCAGGAGCCGAUGAAGGACGUAGGAGGCUGCGAUAAGCCUCGGGGAGCUGUCAACCGAGCUGUGAUCCGAGGAUGUCCGAAUGGGGAAACCCAGCACGAGUGAUGUCGUGUUACCCGCGCCUGAAUAUAUAGGGCGUGUGGAGGGAACGUGGGGAAGUGAAACAUCUCAGUACCCACAGGAAGAGAAAACAACCGUGAUUCCGUGAGUAGUGGCGAGCGAAAGCGGAAGAGGCUAAACCAUGGGUGUGUGAUAGCCGGCAGGUGUUGCAUUCGUGGGGUUGUGGGGUUCAUUUUGUCAAUACUGCCGUGUUGGCCAACAGUAAGAAAUCACAGGGUUAGUGGAAGUGGUCUGGAACGGCCUGUCGUAGAGGGUGAGAAUCCCGUACACGAAAACUUUGUGACUGUUGUAAUGGAAACCCAAGUAGCACCGGGCCCGUGAAAUCUGGUGUGAAUCUGUCGGGACCACCCGAUAAGCCUGAAUACUCCCUGGUGACCGAUAGCGGACUAGUACCGUGAGGGAAAGGUGAAAAGUACCCCGGGAGGGGAGUGAAAUAGUACCUGAAACCGUGCGCUUACAAUCCGUCAGAGCCUUCGAGCAGUUUACUGCUGGGGGUGAUGGCGUGCCUUUUGAAGAAUGAGCCUGCGAGUUAGUGGCAUGUCGCGAGGUUAACCCGUGUGGGGUAGCCGUAGCGAAAGCGAGUCCGAAUAGGGCGAUCGUAGUGGCAUGCUCUAGACCCGAAGCGGAGUGAUCUACCCAUGGCCAGGUUGAAGCGACGGUAAGACGUCGUGGAGGACCGAACCCACUUAGGUUGAAAACUGAGGGGAUGAGUUGUGGGUAGGGGUGAAAGGCCAAUCAAACUCCGUGAUAGCUGGUUCUCCCCGAAAUGCAUUUAGGUGCAGCGUCGCGUGUUUCUCACCGGAGGUAGAGCUACUGGAUGGUCUAGGGGGCCCACAAGCUUACCGAAAUCAGCCAAACUCCGAAUGCCGGUGAGUGAGAGCGCGGCAGUGAGACUGCGGGCGAUAAGGUUCGUAGUCGAGAGGGAAACAGCCCAGAUCGCCAGCUAAGGUCCCUAAGCGUGUACUAAGUGGAAAAGGAUGUGGGGUCGCGAAGACAACCAGGAGGUUGGCUUAGAAGCAGCCACCCUUGAAAGAGUGCGUAAUAGCUCACUGGUCAAGUGAUCCUGCGCCGACAAUGUAGCGGGGCUCAAGUACACCACCGAAGCUGCGGCAUUCACGCAAUAGCCCCCCUUCACUCUGCGGAGUGUUGGGCAGGUGUGUGGAUGGGUAGGGGAGCGUCGUGUGGCCAUGGAAGCGGCAGGGUGACCUAGCCGUGGAGGCCACACGAGUGAGAAUGCAGGCAUGAGUAGCGAAAGACGAGUGAGAAACUCGUCCGCCGAAUGACCAAGGGUUCCUGGGCCAGGUUAAUCCGCCCAGGGUGAGUCGGGACCUAAGACGAGGCCGACAGGCGUAGCCGAUGGACAACGGGUUGAUAUUCCCGUACCCGUGUGAACGCGCCCAUGGUGAAUCAGUGAUACUAACCAUCCUGAAGCCACGAGAAGACCUUCGGGUCUCGAGUUGGUGGAUGCAUGGGACCUGAUCUGGUAGUAGCCAAGCGAUGGGGUGACGCAGGAAGGUAGCUGAGCCAGUCAGUGGUAAUACUGGUGUAAGCGUGUAGGGCGUGACCUAGGCAAAUCCGGGUCGCACAUAGCCUGAGACGUGAUGCGUAGCCGAUUGAGGCGAAUUCAGUGAUCCUAUGCUGCCGAGAAAAGCCUCUAGCGAGCUUUCACACGGCCCGUACCCCAAACCGACACAGGUGGUCAGGUAGAGAAUACUAAGGCGAUCGAGAUAACUAUGGUUAAGGAACUCGGCAAAAUGCCCCCGUAACUUCGGGAGAAGGGGGGCCCUGUCUGGUGACGACAUUUACUGUCUGAGCUGG
RNAcentral lists this ribosomal RNA (1996 nucleotides) under Rhodococcus sp. D-1. RNAcentral describes it as "bacterial LSU rRNA". It matches the Rfam family "Bacterial large subunit ribosomal RNA", at positions 1 to 1775 of the family's 2925-position model. Lineage: Bacteria; Bacillati; Actinomycetota; Actinomycetes; Mycobacteriales; Nocardiaceae. The record is from RNAcentral.